RNAcentral lists this ribosomal RNA (990 nucleotides) under uncultured zygomycete. RNAcentral's name for it is "eukaryotic LSU rRNA". It matches the Rfam family "Eukaryotic large subunit ribosomal RNA", at positions 1 to 846 of the family's 3401-position model. The record is from RNAcentral. Lineage: Eukaryota; Fungi.
AACUCGAUCUCAAAUCAAGUAAGACUACCCGCUGAACUUAAGCAUAUCAAUAAGCGGAGGAAAAGAAACUAACAAGGAUUCCCCUAGUAACGGCGAGUGAAGCGGGAUGAGCUCAAAUUUAAAAUCUGGCUGGUUUACUAGUCCGAAUUGUAGUUUAUAGAAGCGUUUUCGGUGGCAGCCUGGGUAUAAAUCCUUUGGAAUAGGGUAUCAUAGAGGGUGAGAAUCCCGUCUUUGACUCAGUGCAUGCUACUAUGUGAUACGUUUUCAAAGAGUCGAGUUGUUUGGGAAUGCAGCUCAAAAUGGGUGGUAAAUUUCAUCUAAAGCUAAAUAUUGGCGAGAGACCGAUAGCGAACAAGUACCGUGAGGGAAAGAUGAAAAGAACUUUGAAAAGAGAGUUAAACAGUGCGUGAAAUUGUUGAAAGGGAAACGUUUGACACCAGUUAUGCGGGUGGAAAAUCAGUCUUUUGCAAUGGGGAGUUGUGGGCGUUCAGACCGCAAGGCUGGCGUUUGCUUCAUCUUUGUUGUAAGUGAUGCACUUUUUCAUUUGCAGGUCAACAUCAGUUUGCUUUGCUGGACAAAACCCCAAGGGAAGGUGGCAGCUUAGGCUGUGUUAUAGCCCUGGGGCGAUACAGUGGAGUGGACUGAGGUUUCGCAGUGUGUGCUCUCGGGCAAGGCUGACUGGGUGCUAUGGGAUCGUUCGGCGUACAAUGCAUGCAUUUUGCGUCGUGUCUUUUUCAUACUCGCUCAACUCGGCUCUUCCACACUUAGGAUGUUGACUUAAUGGUUUUAAACGACCCGUCUUGAAACACGGACCAAGGAGUCUAACAUAUAUGCAAGUGUUUGGGUGGCAAACCCAUGCGCGUAAUGAAAGUGAAACGUAGGUGCGAUCCGCAAGGUGCAGCAUCGACCGAUCUUGAUAUUUUUGGAUAGAUUUGAGUAAGAGCAUAUAUGCUGGGACCCGAAAGAUGGUGAAACUAUGCCUGAAUAGGG